GGCGGGGUAGCUCAGUGGUAGAGCAGAGGCCUGAAAAGCCUUGUGUCGGCAGUUCAAUUCUGCCCCUCGCCACCA
Molecule: transfer RNA, 75 nt
Filed under: Candidatus Gracilibacteria bacterium CG2_30_37_12
Lineage: Bacteria; Candidatus Altimarinota
Also listed under: 1 other name
Description: tRNA-Phe
Rfam family: tRNA
About the family: Transfer RNA (tRNA) molecules are approximately 80 nucleotides in length. Their secondary structure includes four short double-helical elements and three loops (D, anti-codon, and T loops).
Source: RNAcentral